CCAAUAGCGUAUAUUAAAGUUGCUGCAGUUAAAAAGCUCGUAGUUGAAUUUCGGGAUCAAUAUGUUGGUCGUGCCUUGGUACGUACUAGCUUAUUGAUUUCUCCUUUCUGACGAACCAUGAUGUCAUUAAUUUGGUGUCAUGGGGAAUCAGGACUGUUACUUUGAAAAAAUUAGAGUGUUUAAAGCAGGCUCGCGCUUGAAUACAUUAGCAUGGAAUAAUGAAAUAGGACAUUUGAUUCUAUUUUGUUGGUUUCUAGGAUCGAUGUAAUGAUUAAUAGGGAUAGUUGGGGGCAUUAGUAUUCAAUUGUCAGAGGUGAAAUUCUUGGAUUUAUUGAAGACUAACUACUGCGAAAGCAUUUGCCAAGGAUGUUUUCAUUAAUCAAGAACGAAAGUUAGGGGAUCGAAGAUGAUCAGAUACCGUCGUAGUCUUAACCAUAAACUAUGCCGACUAGGGAUCGGAUGAUGUUAAUUUUUUAAUGACUCAUUCGGCGCCUUAC
This 497-nucleotide ribosomal RNA is filed under the name uncultured Glomeromycotina. RNAcentral describes it as "partial small subunit ribosomal RNA". It matches the Rfam family "Eukaryotic small subunit ribosomal RNA", at positions 591 to 1091 of the family's 1831-position model. The record is from RNAcentral. Lineage: Eukaryota; Fungi; Glomeromycota.